Molecule: non-coding RNA, 221 nt
Organism: Cajanus cajan (pigeon pea)
Lineage: Eukaryota; Viridiplantae; Streptophyta; Magnoliopsida; Fabales; Fabaceae
Source: RefSeq, a predicted model, not a curated record
UAAAUGUAAUGCAUAGCUCUAAUUUUUUUAUGGAUCAUGGUUGCAUUAUAUGAUCCUUUCACUUGCAAUUAAUCGUUUAUACUCACUCAUUCACAGCUUGAAGGAUGAGCUAACGUGUCACUCUUUCAUUACGGUAGUUGAUUGAUCUUGAUUUAAUGGUUACAGACAGAAAAAGAAAAGUAGAACAACCUAUUUAACUACAAGUUUAUAUUUACACAUUA